Calypte anna (Anna's hummingbird) is the source of this 407-nucleotide long non-coding RNA. RefSeq lists it as uncharacterized. NCBI's taxonomy places the organism in Eukaryota, Metazoa, Chordata, Aves, Apodiformes, Trochilidae. The record is from RefSeq and is a predicted model, not a curated record. The transcript is spliced from 3 exons.
GGGAAAGGCAGCCGGGCUGAGUCUCUCGGCCCCGGAGCGCGGAGCCACUCGGAGCCGGGGCGGUGGCGGUGGCGGUGGCGCGGUCAGGCAGCCCCUCUGAGACAUCUCCUGCAGGGUGUGAGCACCCAGAAGUAGCUACAAGGGGUUGCACAAGGUAAAAUUUGGAUUUAUUUUGGUUCCCCCCAAGCUGUCUCUUGAAAACUGAAUUUUCUCAGCACUGGCUGCCCAGGAGGAUGCUCCAGGUGCCCAUGGAGGGGUUCAAGCUUCACCAGGAUGUGCUGGACAGGGAGAAGAACACUCAGAAAGUGAGGUUUUUGGGUUUUUUUCCCCAGGAAUUGUUUUGUUCUGGGUUGUUUUUUACCUGGGAAGCAGACACAUUGAAAGGCAUCAGCUCAUUUGCCAUGGCA